Molecule: ribosomal RNA, 253 nt
Filed under: uncultured bacterium
Lineage: Bacteria
Description: partial 16S ribosomal RNA
Rfam family: Bacterial small subunit ribosomal RNA
Source: RNAcentral
UACGAGGGGUGCAAGCGUUGCUCGGAAUUAUUGGGCGUAAAGGGCUCGUAGGCGGUUUGUCGCGUCGGGAGUGAAAACCUUGGGCUUAACUCAGGGCUUGCUUUCGAUACGGGCAGACUAGAGGUAUGCAGGGGAGAACGGAAUUCCUGGUGUAGCGGUGAAAUGCGCAGAUAUCAGGAGGAACACCGGUGGCGAAGGCGGUUCUCUGGGCAUGAUCUGACGCUGAGGAGCGAAAGUGUGGGGAGCGAACAGG